Molecule: unclassified non-coding RNA, 263 nt
Filed under: plant metagenome
Description: partial contains small subunit ribosomal RNA, internal transcribed spacer 1, and 5.8S ribosomal RNA
Source: RNAcentral
UUUCCGUAGGUGAACCUGCGGAAGGAUCAUUAUUGUAUAACCGAGGUGCGAGGGCUGUCGCUGACCCGAAAGGUCGUGCACGCCCGAGUGCCCUCACACACAUCCAUCCCAGCCCUAUGUGCACCACCGCGUGGGUCCCCCUUUGGCUUGUUCGGAGGGGGGCUUACGUUUUCACACAAACUUUGUAUGCAGUGUAGAAUGUAUUUUUUGUUUUUGCGAUCACGCAAUCAAUACAACUUUCAACAACGGAUCUCUUGGCUCUC